AUUCGAGGCGACGGGCUCCGGGCCCUGAUAGAUGGGGUGCGGGGACGGAGACAAAUGACGGCCUUUGGGCUCGGAAUACCCACCUUUCUGGUAAUGCAGCCCAGCGGGUCCCAGCCUCGUUUUCCAGCCCUCACUCAAAAUGGAGUCGCUCUGGUUCGAACGCCUCUGACAAGUGUGUACCUACGUGUCAGGGUGAGUAUGGGGCUGUAUGUACACACGUGUCACUGUGUACACGUGUCGGUGCGCAUGUAUGAAUGUGUGUUGUCCUUGGCUGGCAGGCAGCUGGAGUGUGAAUUUCCCUGAGGGUUUCCACUUCCCUGUGGUUCAGGCUGGGGCCGUCCCCGCUCUCCUGGCCCCAGAGCUGCCCCACUAGGCAGGGAAAGCCUCUGGAAUGAGGGAACAGGAUAUGGCUCCAUGAGGCCCCCACAAGCCAGAGGCACCCCUGAGCUUUGCAUAGAUGGGAAGGACUUGGAUUGCUGGGGCCGGGCUGGAGCCUGGGAAUCCUGAGCCGGAAGUGAGGGGUGCACACAGCUGUCUAGAGAAGCCCUCUGCGUGUGCGUGUGUGUGUCCCUCCAGAUCUGUGCAUGUUGAGUCACUCGGGGAAGUGGCUCUCCUCAUGUAAAUGUCUUCAGGAUGAAGGGAGGUCCUUCUGGUGUCUGGACUUGAGCUUCUCUGGGGGCAGAACCUGGGCUCUGGGGGCUGCUAUUUGGGAAUCACCCUCCUUGCCGCCCCCUGGGCCAGUGCCCUGAGGACACUGGAGGGGUCCUUGAGCCCUAGUGGGGGGUAGGGUGUGUGUGUGUGUGUGAGAGAGAGCCAGAGAGAGUGUCUGUGAGCAGGGGUGUAUGUAAAUGUGUGUGAGGAUGUGUAUAUGUGCAUUGGUGUGAGUUGUGUGUGUGAGGUUGUGUUGGGGUGAGGGUGUGGGCGUGUGAGUUGGUGUGAGGGUGUGUGAGUUGGUGUGUGUGAGUUGUGAGGUUGCGUUGGGAGUGAGGGUGUGUGCAUGUGAGUUGGUGUGUGAGUUGUGUAUAUGUGAGGGUGUGUGUGUGAGUUGGUGUGUGAGUUGUGUAUGUGUAAGGGUGUGAGUGUGAGUUGGUGUGUAUUUGAGUUAGUGUGUGUUGGUGUGCAUGCGAGUUGGUGUGUGUGAGUUGGUGUGU
RNAcentral lists this long non-coding RNA (1151 nucleotides) under Homo sapiens (human). Its description in RNAcentral is "HSALNT0355072". The record is from RNAcentral. Lineage: Eukaryota; Metazoa; Chordata; Mammalia; Primates; Hominidae.